AGUAUAAAUGGAGCAGGUAUCAGGCACAUAAACUAGCCCAAGACACCAAGCUAUGCCACACCCACACGGGCCCUCAGCAGUGAUAAACAUUAAGCAAUAAGCGAACACAAACUUCAAAGCUUGACUUAGUUAUGGUUAACAGGGCCGGUAAACCUCGUGCCAGCCACCGCGGUUAUACGAGGGGCCCGAAGCAGCAGACCUCGGCGUAAAUAGUGACUAGAAUGAUUACCUACACAUUAAAAACUAAACCCUAGCCUAACCGUAAAACACAGGCUAGGUGAAACCAAACAUUUUUAACAACAGGUAAUUUGACCCACGAAAACUAAGAAACAAACUAGGAUUAGAUACCCUACUAUGCUUAGUCGUUAAUAUGAUAUUGUACCACUAAAAUAUCCGCCAGAAAACUACGAGCGAAAAGCUUAAAACUCAAAGGACUUGGCGGUGCUCCAUACCGACUUAGAGGAGCCUGUCCUAUAAUCGAUACCCCACGCUAAACCUCACCAAUCUUUGCCAAAUCAGCCUAUAUACCGCCGUCGACAGCCUACCUCGUGAGAGAAAAACAGUAAGUAUAAAAGUUCAACAACUAAAACGUCAGGUCAAGGUGUAGCUAAUAGAAUGGAAGAGAUGGGCUACAUUUUUUAAGAUAAAACACACGGCAUGGUACUAUGAAACUUCUACCUGAAGGAGGAUUUAAUAGUAAAACUAACAAGAAAGUUAAUUUUAAAU
Molecule: ribosomal RNA, 726 nt
Filed under: Sceloporus horridus
Lineage: Eukaryota; Metazoa; Chordata; Lepidosauria; Squamata; Phrynosomatidae
Description: partial 12S ribosomal RNA
Rfam family: Bacterial small subunit ribosomal RNA
Source: RNAcentral